CCUACGGGAGGCAGCAGUAGGGAAUCUUCCACAAUGGGCGAAAGCCUGAUGGAGCAACGCCGCGUGGGUGAAGAAGGUCUUCGGAUCGUAAAACCCUGUUGUUAGAGAAGAAAGUGCGUGAGAGUAACUGUUCACGUUUCGACGGUAUCUAACCAGAAAGCCACGGCUAACUACGUGCCAGCAGCCGCGGUAAUACGUAGGGGGCAAGCGUUAUCCGGAUUUAUUGGGCGUAAAGGGAACGCAGGCGGGCUUGUAAGUCUGAUGUGAAAGCCUUGGGCUUAACCGGAGUAGUGCAUUGGAUACUGGGAGACUUGAGUGCAGAAGAGGAGAGUGGAACUCCAUGUGUAGCGGUGAAAUGCGUAGAGAUAUGGAAGAACACCAGUGGCGAAAGCGGCUCGCUGGGCUGUGACUGACGCUGAGGUUCGAAAGCGUGGGUAGCAAACAGGAUUAGAUACCCCAGUAGUC
Molecule: ribosomal RNA, 465 nt
Filed under: uncultured bacterium
Lineage: Bacteria
Description: partial 16S ribosomal RNA
Rfam family: Bacterial small subunit ribosomal RNA
Source: RNAcentral